AUAUCGGAUCAAUGAAAGAAUAAAUAAAUCUUUAAACUGAAAUAACAUGCAGAAAACAGGCAAAAUCAGCUGGAAACCAGGGCUGUGAGAUAAGCAGCAAUAAAAGAAAAAGGAAGAAGGUACAGGUUUUUGCUUUUUUUUAAGAGUGCUCAAACUGUACAAUUUGCAGUCCGGCAUUAAUCAAGUGAUAUCACGAACAUAGUUAUGGCCACAUUCAUGGUAUGUAUUUUAGGCAAAUGGUAACAUCUGAGUGCUACAACGAAAUCUUCAAACUUCUUCAUCCCAAAGUUACUGAGUCCAAGUAUCUAAAAAGCCACUUAAAAUUUUUUUUAACAUUUAUUCAUUUUUGAGAGCCGGAGAGAGACAGCGCAUGAGUGGGGGAGGGGCAGAGAGCGAGGGAGACAAAGAACCAGGAGCAGGCUCCAGGGUCCGAGCUGUCAGCCCAGAGCCCGAUGCGGGGUGUGAACUCACCAAUGGGGAGAUCAUGACCUGAGCUGAAGUACAACGCUUAACCCACUGAGCCACCCAAGCGCCCCAUAAAAAGCCCAUAUUAAUAUUUUGCCCACUUCGUGCCCUCUCUCAUUCACUGCGUUAAACACUUUGCUGCCAGACAUUAUGCUAAGUCCUAGAGACCGAACAAUAUAUGAAUUAGAUACAAUUCGGACCCUUUUGGAGUUUACACCACGGCAGCACCUAUAGGUUUUAAACAUUAUUUCCUCAAUCAAGUAUUUACUGAAAGUAUGAGUAAUGCCGAGACAGAAAGUUCAGAAAGAAAAGUGCUCCGAGAGUAUUAAUAGGGAAACAGACCCAGUGGUAGUGUCGGAGAACGGUUCCUUGAAGAAGCGCUAGGAAAGGAAUGAAGAGGGAUGGGCCAAGGUAGAGGGAGAACAGCAGUUUCGCUUUCUUUCCGAGUUUCGGUUCCUCCCCGCCAACUGCACUCCUGAAGCAGAGGAUCCGCCUGACGAAUCAGCAGAAGGUCAACAGUAGCCUGACCCCACGUCAGGCGUGCUCACGUCGUUCACCGCGCUUCUCAUCACGUAGGCAUUUUACCGUCUCAUAUUAUCAGGGAAGGAGGGCAUCAGGCAAGCAGUCUCCAAGCAUGAAACAUCAUUCACCUCAUUUCAGACAGACCCUGUGACAAAUUACAGCCUCCUCAGACAUUAAAAAUACAUUGAUCAAGAGAAGUUGUAAGACAUGGAAGAAAAAUUAAUCCAUACCUCUCUUAGAAAGAAAAGAAGGAACCACUUUGCUGAAUGACCUUUGAGCUGAACAGACCAUCGAGUUUUAAAAGUACCUGCCAGUUUCACAUCCCUUCUGAGAUUUUCAAAAGAAUUGCGAGAUUAUAACUGGCAUGAACCUAGCAGUUGAUUAUGUUAUGUAUGAUCAAAAGACAAUUCAAUCUCUGAUUUUUUUUUCCUCAUCUUAAGGAACACACUAGAUCAACCAAAGUCUCACAACAACCCUGUGAAGAAGAUGUGAAGUACAGAAAUGAUGCACUUUCCCAGAGACUCCUACAUGGAUAUCACAGCUAGUACAUGGAUACAACCAUUCCAUUGGACAACUAAGAAUAUAUGUCAAAAGAUUCUGGAGCAAAGUCCCUGAAGAGAACACAUUGAAGCAACAGGUGAUAACUAUAAAGGCCUGGUGUGUGUGCUCAGCUAUUAUUUAUAGUAAGUGUAUUUACUGAAUGCAGUCCAUUAUUCAGUAGAGUGAAAAAAAAGUUGCAUGCAGUUAUGAAUUAGGCACAUUUCCUUUUUGGAAAAAAGUCUUUACAAGUUUGACUU
This is a long non-coding RNA of Acinonyx jubatus (cheetah), 1784 nucleotides long. RefSeq lists it as uncharacterized. The transcript has 5 exons. The record is from RefSeq and is a predicted model, not a curated record. NCBI's taxonomy places the organism in Eukaryota, Metazoa, Chordata, Mammalia, Carnivora, Felidae.